This 253-nucleotide ribosomal RNA is filed under the name uncultured bacterium. RNAcentral's name for it is "partial 16S ribosomal RNA". It matches the Rfam family "Bacterial small subunit ribosomal RNA", at positions 524 to 776 of the family's 1533-position model. The record is from RNAcentral.
UACAGAGGGUGCGAGCGUUGUCCGGAAUCACUGGGCGUAAAGGGCGCGUAGGUGGCGCGACAAGUCAGUGGUGAAAGUUCGACGCUCAACGUCGAAUCGGCCACUGAUACUGUUGGGCUUGAGCACUGUAGAGGCUAAUGGAAUUCCGGGUGUAGCGGUGGAAUGCGUAGAGAUCGGGAGGAACACCAGUAGCGAAGGCGGCACUCUGGGCCGGUACUGACGCUGAGGAGCGAAAGCGUGGGGAGCGAACAGG